This 416-nucleotide ribosomal RNA is filed under the name uncultured Pseudomonadota bacterium. RNAcentral's name for it is "bacterial SSU rRNA". It matches the Rfam family "Bacterial small subunit ribosomal RNA", at positions 171 to 583 of the family's 1533-position model. Lineage: Bacteria; Pseudomonadati; Pseudomonadota. The record is from RNAcentral.
GCAUGAUGUCGCAAGACCAAAGCAGGGGAUCGCAAGACCUUGCGCCUUUAGAGGAGCCUAUGUCUGAUUAGCUAGUUGGUAGGGUAAUGGCCUACCAAGGCGACGAUCAGUAACUGGUCUGAGAGGACGAUCAGUCACACGGGAACUGAGACACGGUCCAGACUCCUACGGGAGGCAGCAGUGGGGAAUAUUGGACAAUGGGCGCAAGCCUGAUCCAGCAAUGCCGCGUGUGUGAAGAAGGCCUUCGGGUUGUAAAGCACUUUAGGCCGGGAAGAAAAAAUCAGGGCUAAUAUCCUUGAUCUUGACGGUACCGGAAGAAUAAGCACCGGCUAACUCUGUGCCAGCAGCCGCGGUAAUACAGAGGGUGCGAGCGUUAAUCGGAUUUACUGGGCGUAAAGCGUGUGUAGGUGGUUGUU